This is a long non-coding RNA of Myotis davidii, 425 nucleotides long. RefSeq lists it as uncharacterized. Lineage: Eukaryota; Metazoa; Chordata; Mammalia; Chiroptera; Vespertilionidae. The transcript is spliced from 4 exons. The record is from RefSeq and is a predicted model, not a curated record.
GUUUCUCUCUCUCCCUCUCCCUUCCUCUCUGAAAUCAAUAAAAAUAUAUUUUUUAAAAAAGAUAAUGGCAACAGCAGACCCUGAGGUCCAUUGGGUGUGGCCUAGGGCUGAGAGGUGGGAAGCCUGGAAGAGCUGUCUGGACCUGAUGCGGUGGCGGCAGCCCCCCCGCCCCCGACCCCCCCAAUAGGAGCCAGGGUGGGAUGGACGCACAGCAAUGCCUGGAGAGGAUGACUCUGCAGAGCUGGCUGGAAGGAAUGGAGGGGUGGCCUGCAGAUAGCAGGGGCCACCCCAGGGGAGCCUAGUCCUCCUGGACACAGAGGAGGGGGUGGCGGGGAAGCAGAGGUGGGAUCUCCAGGCUGUGGUGGAGGUUGCCUUUGAGGGAGAAAGGACAGGGAAGGACGAGCACAUUCAUUGUUGCUUUGAAA